Molecule: ribosomal RNA, 362 nt
Filed under: Furcifer campani
Lineage: Eukaryota; Metazoa; Chordata; Lepidosauria; Squamata; Chamaeleonidae
Description: partial 16S small subunit ribosomal RNA
Rfam family: Bacterial large subunit ribosomal RNA
Source: RNAcentral
UCACUUGUCCCCUAAAUGAGGACGCGUAUGAAAGGCAACAUGAGAGAAGACCUGUCUCCUAAGGACUGCCAAUGAAAUUGAACUGCCAGUUCAAAAGCUGGUAUUUUUAAGCAAGACAAAAAGACCCUGUGGAACUUUAAUGAACUGUCUUAAAAAAAAGACAGUAAUUUCAGUUGGGACAACUUUAGAAAAAAUAAACUUCCUAAUCUACCAAGACUAACAAGUCAAAACCUACUAUAUGACCCAGUAGUACUGAUUAACGAAAUAAGCUACCCCAGGGAUAACAGCGCCACCUUCUCAAAGAGUUCAUAUCAACAAGAAGACCUACGACCUCGAUGUUGGAUCAGGGUACCCAGACGGUG